This is an RNA transcript of Oncorhynchus nerka (sockeye salmon), 7782 nucleotides long. RefSeq lists it as uncharacterized. The transcript is spliced from 2 exons. The record is from RefSeq and is a predicted model, not a curated record. NCBI's taxonomy places the organism in Eukaryota, Metazoa, Chordata, Actinopteri, Salmoniformes, Salmonidae.
AUACAGACAUGAUCUUCAGUGUGGAGGAUACAGGCAUUCUCAUUAGUGUGGAGGAUACAGACAUUCUCUUCAGUGUGGAGGCUACAGACAUUCUCUUCAGUGUGGAGGCUACAGACAGUCUCUUCAGUCUGGAGGCUACAGACAUUCUCUUCAGUGUGGAGGCUACAGACAUUCUCAUCAGUGUAGAGGAUACAGACAUUAUCUUCAGUGUGGAGGAUACAGACAUUCUUUUCAGUGUGGAGGCUACAGGCAUUCUCAUCAGUGUGGAGGAUACAGACAUUAUCUUCAGUGUGGAGGAUACAGACAUUCUCUUCAGUGUGGAGGCUACAUACAUUCUCUUCAGUGUGGAGGCUACAGACAUUCUCUUCAGUGUGGAGGCUACAGACAUUCUCUUCAGUUUGGAGGCUACAGGCAUUCUCUUCAGUGUGGAGGAUACAGGCAUUCUCUUCAGUGUGGAGGAUACAGACAUUCUCUUCCGUGUGGAGGCUACAGGCAUUCUCUUCAGUGUGGAGGCUACAGACAUUCUCUUCAGUGUGGAGGAUACAUUCAUUCUCUUCAGUGUGGAGGCUACAGACAUUCUUUUCAGUGUGGAGGAUACAGGCAUUCUCUUCAGUGUGGAGGCUACAGGCAUUCUCUUCAGUGUGGAGGCUACAGGCAUUCUCUUCAGUGUGGAGGCUACAGACAUUCUCUUCAGUGUGGAGACUACCUACAGACAUUAUAUUCAGUGUGGAGGCUACAGACAUUCUCUUCAGUGUGGAGGCUACAGACAUUCUCUUCAGUGUGGAGGCUUCAGGCGUUUUCUUCAGUGUGGGGUCUAUAGGUGUUUCCAUUUACCUAACAUUGUGACUCAGGGGGUGGAAGGCAAGCUAUAUGGGGCAUGAAGUCUCCCAAAUAUGUACACAAUAGUUGUAUGAAAGUGGCAAAGCAGGGUAGCUUGUCCUCUAACUGUGGUGUUGGUUCAAGGCCCUGGAUGGAAAAAAGUAUUUCUAAAUAACCUAACUAGAAUGCUUUGUAAAAUGUGAAAAUGUCUGAAAAUACAAAUGUUAUUUUCUUCUGUAAUACAAUUUUUACAGAAAUUGUGUGCGAAGCAUUGCGUUGCAUCAUGUCACCAAAAUUGACUGAUAGUCCAUAAUUUCUGGUUUUGUAUAUGUAACCUCAACCCUAUGUGUUUUUCUCCCCUGCUUUCUAUCUCCCUAGGAAUGUCACCUGAGAGGCAAAGUGAGGUGGAUCCUGUUCAAUGACAAAGACAGCAGAUGAGCCUAGUUCACCUGUUCCUCUUGGACGGCCACAGGGAUGGAUGCUGUGAGGAACCUGGCUCUUGGGCUCCACCUUGAUAUGAUUCUCUAAGGGAGAAUGUACUGCAGCGCCAGCUGUGCCACCAGAGACCCUGGGUUCACGUCCAGGCUCUGUCGUAACCGGCCGCGACCUGGAGGUCCGUGGGGCGACGCACAAUUGUCAUAGCGUCGUCCGGGUUAGGGAGGGCUUGGCCGGUAGGGAUAUCCUUGUCUCAUCGCUCACCAGCGACUCCUGUGGCGGGCCGGGCGCAGUGCACGCUAGCCAGGGUUGCCAGGUGCACAGUGUUUCCUCCGACACAUUGGUGUGGCUGGUUUCCGGGUUGGAUGCGCGCUGUGUAAAGAAGCAGUGCAGCUUGGUUGGGUUGUGUAUCAGAGGACACAUGACUUUCAAUCUUCGUCUCUCCCGAGCCGGUACGGGAGUUGUAGCGAUGAGACAAGAUAGUACGAAAUUGGGGAGAAAAAGGGGGUAAAAUAUAUAUAUUUUUAAAAGAUGCUCUCAAUGGUGCAGCUGUAGAACUUUUAUAGGAUCUGAGGGCCCAUGCCACAUUUCUUCAGUCUCCUGACGGGGAAGAGGUGUUGUCGUGCCCUCUUUACGACUGUGUUGUGUGGACCAUGAUAGAUCCUUAGUGAUGUGGACACUGAGGAACUUGAGCUCUCGACCCGCUCCACUACAGACCGUCGAUGUGAAUGGGGGCGCACUCAGCCCUCAGUUUCCUGUAGUCCACGAUUAGCACCUUUGUCUUGCUGACAUUGAGGAAUAGGUUGUUGUCUUUGCACCACACUGCCAGGUCUCUGACCUCCUCCCUAUAGAACACAAUGUUAGCUCCUGCAUCAGUGCAUAGUAACAUUAUCUCUGCAUUGCAAUCAAAUCCUGCUUUGUCCUUCUGUUUUCUUCCUAGCUUAGUCUGUUACGCUUUGAGGUGAAAAGGUUUUUGCCAAAUAAUGACUACAGAUUAUAAUAAUAACAUUUCUCAGAAUAUGUAAAUAAUUAUUAUCAAAAAAUUACAGUGAAGUGUAUUUGAUAUUUGAAGUGUUUCUUUUUUUCUCAUCCAUAUUACUCUCUCUCAUUCUUCCUACCCCUCUCUUUUUCUGUUCCUUUUCCCCUCAACCUCCCUCCCAGCCUCCCUCCCACCCGCCCUAUCUGUCUCUCUGUCUGCUUCUCUGAUGGUGUUUGCAGUUGCUGGCUGUAUGCUGUGUACGCGGAUGCUGUUAUUGUAAAGAUGCCACUGCAUUAUCAUCUGUCACCCACAAAGUCAGAGCAGUGGGCUUAAUGCCACAGGAGAACAAGAGGAGGGGGAGAAAUACACCAGCACAAUUAAUGCAACUCAAUCUACAAGAACCCAACACAUGGAGACCCUCUCUUUAUGCAGAUUUCACAUAUGGAACUUGAGAACUUCAAUUGAGGUCUUAGCGAAUAGAGAAUUCUAGAAAUUGUGUUGAAAUUACUCAUUAUUAUUCAUUGAAGGUUUUUCAUAACCCUAUAGUAAAAAAGAAAUUAAAACUAGCCUACUAUUGUGAAUGACAAUUAUGUUUGUUUUUCCCUUCAUCAUUUAGUAUUCCCCUGAAGGCCCUGCACUGCAGUACUGGAGUUACAAGAUGGAGCAAACAGCAUAACCCAAUGACUCCAGAAGCCUCAUCCAGACACCAGGGAAACAGCUUACCCUAUGUUCUGUGUUACAUUACCUGAAGGGGUCAUGCUGGCGGCCCACGUCAUUGCUGAAUAAUGACAUUUUGGUCUAAUCACACUCAGAUUGAAAUUAUGUAAAUGUGGGAACAGAUGUAGAUGAGAGAGCAUUUCGGCGACACAUGGCUCCAAAUCCCACGGCUAUUACUCAAAGGAGGAACUCCAAGUACUGGCAGCAAUGCUGGAGGAAAGACUCAAUGACCCACAACAAACAAGUGGUUUCUCUGCUUGCCUGUUUUUGAUUGUGUUUAUUUGUUAUUGCCUCUGGUGGUCCAACCAAGCCUGCUGUUCAAACUUCUCACUUUGUUCUUCCGUUUUUCUAUUCUUCCCUGCAUCAAGUAAUGCUGUGGUUAAGAAAUGUAGAGUGUGAAUACACUUAGUGAUUUAAUAAUACUGUGUGUCUGUGUGGGUGUGUGACUUCUGAAGGCGUAUACAUAUUAUCAUUAGCUCUAUUUUAUGCCUCCCAGAUGUUGUCAAGAGCCUUCAAAAGAUGUGGAAAUCUCUCUGUGAUUGAACAACAGCUGUUUACAUGGAAUAUGUUGACAUUAAAUCAAGUAGUGUCUUGCAAAAGAAUCCCCUUGAAAUUCAAUCUCCUUGUGUGCACUUGACAAACACACACACACACACACACACACACACACACACACACACACACACACACACACACACACACACACACACACACACACACACACACACAUACACCAGCAUCUCUACCUGCACAUGACCAUCUGAUCAUUUAUCAUUUAUCACAUGACCAUCUGAUCAUUUAUCAUUUAUCAUUUAUCACAUGACCAUCUGAUCAUUUAUCAUUUAUCACGUGUUAAUCUGCUGAAUUGUAAUUAUUCGCCUACCUCCUCAUGCCUUUUGCACACAAUGUAUAUAGACUUUUAUUUAUUUAUUUUUUAUGUAAUUUUUUUUCCUACUGUGUUAUUGACUUGUUUAUUGUUUACUCCAUGUGUAACUCUGUGUUGCUGCCUGUUCACACUGCUAUGCUUUAUCUUGGCCAGGUCACAGUUGUAAAUGAGAACUUGUUCUCAACUAGCCUACCUGGUUAAAUAAAGGUAAAAUAAAAAAUUUAAAAAUUAAAAGUCGGAAGUUUACAUACACUUAGGUUGGAGUCAUUAAAACUCGUUUUUCAACCACUCCGCAAAUUUCUUGUUAACAAACUAGAGUUUUGGCAAGUCGGUUAGGACAUCUACUUAGUGCAUGACACAAGUAAUUUUUCCAACAAUUGUUUACAGACAGAUUAUUUCACUUAUAACUCACUGUAUCACAAUUCCAGUGGGUCAGAAGUUUACAUACACUAACUUGACUGUGCCUUCAAACAGAUUGAAAAAUUCCAGAAAAUUAGGUCAUGGCUUUAGAAGCUUCUUUAUCGCUCAGGAAGGAAGAUGAACGUCCUUAAGAUGAAUGUACUUUGUUGCGAAAAGUGCAAAUCAAUCCCAGAACAACAGCAAAGGACCAUAACAUAACAUAAACAUAACGAUGGUCAUUAUGGUCAAACAGUUCUAUUUUUGUUUCAUCAGACCAAAGGAUAUUUCUCCAAAAAGUACGAUCUUUGUUCCCAUGUGCAGUGGCAACCCCUAGUCUGGAUUUUUUAUGGCGGUUUUGGAGCAGUGGCUUCUUCCUUGCUGAGCGGCCUUUCAGGUUAUGUCGACAUAGGACUUGUUUUACUGUGGAUAUAGAUACUUUUGUACCUGUUUCCUCCAGCAUCUUCCCAAGGUACUGUACUCUAUACCAUCUACUGCAUCUUGCCAUCUUGACGUAAUAAAUGUAUCACUAGCCACUUUAAACAAUGCCACUUUCAUAUGUUUACAUACACUAGAUUACUCAUCUUAUAUGUAUAUACUGUACUCUAUAUCAUCUACUGCAUCUUGCCCAUGCCGUUCUAUACCAUCACUCAUUCAUAUAUUUUUUGAUGUACAUAUUCUUAUUCAUUCCUUUACACUUGUGUGUAUAAGGUAGUUGUUGUGAAAUUGUUAGGUUAGAUUACUCGUUGGAUAUUACUGCACUGUCGGAACUAGAAACACAAGUAUUUCGCUACACUCGCAUUAAUAUCUGCUAACCAUGUGUAUGUGACAAAUACAUUUUGAUUUGAUUUGAUUUUAGGUCCUUUGCUGUUGUUGGGAUUGAUUUGCACUUUUCACACCAAAGUACGUUCAUCUCUAGGAGACAGAACGCGUCUCCUUCCUGAGCGGUAUGACGGCUGAGCGGUCCCAUGGUGUUAAUACUUGCGUACUAUUGUUUGUACAGAUGAACGUGGUACCUUCGGAAGUUUGGAAAUUGACCCCAAGGACGAACCAGACUUGUGGAGGUCUACAAUUUUUUUCUGAGGUCUUGGCUGAUUUCUUUUGAUUUUCCCAUAAUGUCAAGCAAAGAGACACUGAGUUGGAAUGUCGGCCUUGAAAUACAUCCACAGGUACACCUGCAAUUGACUCAAAUUAUUUCAAUUAGCCUAUCAGAAGCUUCUAUAGCCAUGACAUCAUUUUCUGGAAUUUUCCAAGCUGUUUAAAGGCACAGUCAACUUAGUGUAUGUAAACUUCUGACCAACUGGAAUUGUGAUACAGUGAAUUCUAAGUGAAAUAAUCUACUUGCCAGAACUCCAGUUUGUUAACAGGAAAUUUGUGGAGUUGUUGAAAAAUUAGUUUUAAUGACUCCAACCUAAGUGUAUGUAAACUUCCGAAUUCAACUUUAUAUAUACACUACCAUUCAAAAGUUUGGGUUCACUUAGAAAUGUCCUUGUUUUUUAAAGAAAAGCACAUUUUUUGUCCAUUAAAAUAGCAUCAAAUUGAUCAGGAAUACAGUGAAGACAUUGUUAAUGUUGUAAAUAGCUAUUGGAGCAGGGAAACGGCUGAUCUAGGCAGAGUUGCAAAGAAAAAGCCAUAUCUCAGACUGGCCAAUAAAAGGAAAGGAUUAAGAUGGGCAAAAGAACACAGAGACUGGACAGAGGAACUCUGCCUAGAAGGCCAGCCUCGCCUCUUCACUGUUGACGUUGAGACUGGUGUUUUGCGGGUACUAUUUAAUGAAGCUUCCAGUUGAGGACUUGUGAGGCAUCAGUUGCUCAAACUAGACACUCUAAUGUACUUAUCCUCUUGUUCAGUAGUGCACCGGGGCCUCCCACUCCCCUUUCUAUUCUGGUUAGAGCCAAUUGGCGCUCUUCUGUUAAGGGAGUAGUACACAGCGUUGUAUGAGAUCUUCAGUUUCUUGGCAAUUUCUCGCAUGAAAUAGCCUUCAUUUCUCAGAACAAGAAUAGACUGACAAGUUUCAGAAGAAAGUUCUUUGUUUCUUGCCAUUUUGAGCCUGUAAUCGAACCCACAAAUGCUGAUGCUCCAGAACCUCAACUAGUCUAAAGAAUGCCAGUUGUAUUGCUUCUUUAAUCUGUGGUAGCCUGGUGGUUAGAGCAUUGGACUAGUAACCAGAAGGUUGCAAGUUCAAACCACUGAACUGACAAGGUACAAAUCUGUUGUUCUGCCCCUGAACAGGCAGUUAACCCACUGUUCCUAGCCUGUCAUUGAAAAUAUGAAUUUGUUCUUCACUGACUUGCCUAGUUAAAAAAAUCAGAACAACAGUUUUCAGCUGUGCUAACAUAAUUUCAAAAGGGUUUUCUAAUGAUCAAUUAACCUUUUAAAAUUAUAAACUUUGAUUAGCUAAAACUAUGUGCCAUUGGAACACAGGAGUGAUGGUUGCUGAUCAUGGGCCUCUGUACUCCUAUGUAGAUAUUACAUUUUUUCUUUAAAAUCAGCCGUUUCCAGCUACAAUAGUCAUUUACAACAUUGUAUUUCUGAUCAAUUUGAUGUUAUUUUAAUGGACAAAAAAAAUUGCUUUUCUUUCAAAGACACAGACAGUUUAUAUAUCCUAGUAGUAUCAAAUUGGAAAUAUCAAGAAACAUUUUCACUUAUUUUUACUCAUACUGAAAACCAACAGUUACAUCAAAGUUUUUUUUAAAUGUCCCUGAGAGCAACACAUUCUCUUGGUCAGAUAUUCUCUGGCUUGGUGAGACAUCCACCAGAGCCUGUUCACUGGGGAAUGUUAAAUAUCCCCUUUCCUUUGUCACCUUUACAGCUCUUAUUUAUUUGUCUGCUUUAUUAUAAUGGUGUUGGGGACAGAGGCAUCAGUAAGGUAAAUGGGUCGUAACUCGUAACUCACCAAGGGACCAUCAAUCUGGGUAAGUUGACUCCCUGUAUUGCUUACAACUGUUACUGUCAUACUAAAGCAGCACAUUAUCAAAAUCAAUGAGGAUUUAACUGCACUCCAGUUAAGCAGGUGAUUGGUGCCAUUUAAAGCAAAGAGGUACGAGGAGGCUACGGGUAAACACAAACAACAACUCCAAACACACAACUUAAGGGUCACUUGAUUGUCAUUGUUAAUAAAACUGUCACCUAAAUCAAUAAAAAUAAAUUGUAAGAUGCCAUACACUUAGAAAAACGGUUCUGGAUAUAUCCAAAAAGGUUAUAUUGUUUGCUUCAUAUAUGGCACCCCUGAAGGUUCUAUGUAGAACCCUUUUGUAUGGUUAUUUGAUCAGAACCCCAGGGGUUAUUCUUCACUGAACCAAAAUUGGUUCCUUGGGUUUAAUAUAGGAUUCUAUAUGGAGCCAAUUUUGGGUUUAGGGGUGUCAUAUGAAGCAGGCAUAGAACUGUUUUUGGUUAUAUCCAGAACCUUCCUUUCUAAGAGUGUGUGUUUGGUAAUAGAGAAUCAUUUGGAAUAUCCUCUAAAUAAUUUUUUUUUUUUCUCUGAUUCAAGUAGCUGAAUUUAUUCUUGAAAUCAAUGCCUCGAUAAAAUAUCCCUUGGAUUUUAACUAGU